ACAUUGGAUGACUGCAUGGCAGAAGCGGAGUUGUUUAGAAUGCCAUCAUCGCUACGAAGGCUAUUCGCGACGAUCUUGGUUUUUUGCGAGCCUAACGACGUACGCAGCCUCUGGAACAAACACCUUGAGGCAAUGUCAGAGGACUACAGCAGAAAUUGCAAAUGCAAACACACAGUCGAACAGAUGGUUCUAAAAAAUAUCAGAGACAUGUUGCACUUGAUGGGAAAAGACAUAGAAUCGUUUCCUCUUCCAAAAAUCGACCAACAGCAUGAGACGACAGAUGACAUACCGAGGGAGAUCACCGAGGAGACCUCCAUCGAGGUGGACCCCGAGGACACAACGUUGCAUAAAAACCUAAACUACGAGCAGAGAAAGGCAUACGACGAAAUCCUAGCGACAAUUGACAGCCAAAAAGGAGGUAUAUUCUUUGUGGAUGGACCUGGAGGCACAUGA
Molecule: ribosomal RNA, 453 nt
Filed under: Triticum aestivum (bread wheat)
Lineage: Eukaryota; Viridiplantae; Streptophyta; Magnoliopsida; Poales; Poaceae
Description: partial small subunit ribosomal RNA
Source: RNAcentral